CCUCCUUAUAGAUGGCAUUCGGUCANCAAGAAUUCACAACAAGUUGUUCUUUAGUUUAGCUAGUAUUUAUUAUUAGCGCUUUGCCUUGACAGGCAGACACAGGCCUGUAGCUCAGCUGGUUAGAGCACCGUGUUGAUAACGCGGGGGUCGGCAGUUCAAGUCUGCCCAGGCCUACCAUUUAUUUACGGGGCCAUAGCUCAGUUGGUAGAGCGCCUGCCUUGCACGCAGGAGGUCAACGGUUCGACUCCGUUUGGCUCCACCAUAAUAAAUACGAUAGUAGAUAUAUNAAACAAGCAUAAACAGAAACAAAUAAUUCAGAUAUUACAUCAUACGAUUAUUUCUUUCUGUNUUAUACAGAACUUAUGACUCGACGAGAGCGUAAGAACUAUUUAAAAACAUAGAUAUGAGUCUGGGUUANGAACACGUGUUCACGCGUUGUUCCUAACCUUAAUAACUCACUACUUAACGACAUCAGUUGUUAUCCCAGUAGUGAGUUAUUAAAAAAGUAAGAGAACUGAAUCAGCGUAUAAA
This 531-nucleotide transfer RNA is filed under the name uncultured Gammaproteobacteria bacterium. RNAcentral describes it as "partial 16S-23S ribosomal RNA intergenic spacer". The stretch from base 187 to 259 matches the Rfam family "tRNA". The record is from RNAcentral. Lineage: Bacteria; Pseudomonadati; Pseudomonadota; Gammaproteobacteria.